Molecule: non-coding RNA, 21 nt
Filed under: Caenorhabditis elegans
Lineage: Eukaryota; Metazoa; Nematoda; Chromadorea; Rhabditida; Rhabditidae
Source: RNAcentral
UGCUGGAAUAAACAAGACACU